This is a long non-coding RNA of Oncorhynchus keta (chum salmon), 748 nucleotides long. RefSeq lists it as uncharacterized. NCBI's taxonomy places the organism in Eukaryota, Metazoa, Chordata, Actinopteri, Salmoniformes, Salmonidae. The transcript has 3 exons. The record is from RefSeq and is a predicted model, not a curated record.
GGGAGGAGGAGAGGUUAUGAUGAUGGGGGAGGAGGAGGAGAGGUUAUGAUGAUGGGGAGGAGGAGGAGAGGUUAUGAUGAUGGAGAGGAGGAGGAGAGGUUAUGAUGAUGGAGAGGAGGAGGAGAGGUUAUGAUGAUGAUGGGGAGGAGGAGGAGAGGUUAUGAUGAUGGGGGAGGAGGAGGAGAGGUUAUGAUGAUGGGGAGGAGGAGGAGAGGUUAUGAUGAUGGGGAGGAGGAGGAGAGGUUAUGAUGAUGGGGAGGAGGAGGAGAGGUUAUGAUGAUGGGGAGGAGGAGGAGAGGUUAUGAUGAUGGGGAGGAGGAGGAGAGGUUAUGAUGAUGGAGAGGAGGAGGAGAGGUUAUGAUGAUGAGGGAGGAGGAGGAGAGGUUAUGAUGAUGGAGAGGAGGAGGAGAGGUUAUGAUGAUGAUGAGGAGGAGAGGUUAUGAUGAUGAUGGGGAGGAGGAGAGGUUAUGAUGAUGGGGGAGGAGGAGGAGAGGUUAUGAUGAUGGGGAGGAGGAGGAGAGGUUAUGAUGAUGGAGAGGAGGAGGAGAGGUUAUGAUGAUGGUGAGGAGGAGGAGAGGUUAUGAUGAUGAGGGAGGAGGAGGAGAGGUUAUGAUGAUGAGGGAGGAGGAGAGAUUAUGAUGAUGAGGAGGAGAGGUUACGAUGAUGGGGAGGAGGAGGAGAGGUUAUGAUGAUGAGGGAGGAGGAGGAAAGGUUACGAUGAUGGGGAGGAGGAGGAGAGGUUAUGAUG